Aquila chrysaetos chrysaetos is the source of this 1774-nucleotide long non-coding RNA. RefSeq lists it as uncharacterized. NCBI's taxonomy places the organism in Eukaryota, Metazoa, Chordata, Aves, Accipitriformes, Accipitridae. The record is from RefSeq and is a predicted model, not a curated record. The transcript is spliced from 2 exons.
UUGCCGUUUUUUAUAGGCAAUUUUGGUCUGGUCUUUGGUCACGUUUUCACCUCCCACUUACGGCUCGGUGUUAUAUCCAGCCUGGGGAACUGCCGUUGGCUGGUGCACGAUCAUCUUCUGCGUCAUCUGGAUUCCCAUCGCCGCUAUUCUAAAAAUAGUUAAAGCUGAAGGAAACCUUUGUCAGCGCAUUGUAAGCUGUUGCAGGCCCGCUGCAAACUGGGGUCCCUACCUGGAAUGUAACAGAGGAGAAAGAUACAGCCAUGUCGUAGAUUCCAAAAAGGAAAAGGAACACGAGAUUCCUACCGUGUCUGGCUUCGUAUACACUCAACAAUGAGAUGGCCAUUUGGAUGACAAAUUUUUAACCUACGUGUGCUUUUUUUCUUUAAUUAUUAGAAAGUGACUGUGCAAAACAACAACAACAAAAAGCAAAUCAACCCCCUGCCCUUCAAAACCCUGCCCCCAAAUGAAAGCCAGCUGUAUUAUUUAUUUUUGGUGCCGUAUGCUUGGGGAGGAAUAGCUAAAUUAGACACUGAGAUCUCCCCAGAGAUUUAGGUGGAGAGGGCAGGAAAAUGCAUUGCAGGCUUGCCAGGCUGAUGGACUGGACACGCUUAACCCCAUCCAACCAGUAUCCAGCUGGACUGCAGAUACGGUUGUAGAAGAGAAUAAAGACACAUUCUGGUGCUUCCCAGCUACAGGAAAUUUGAGCCAAAAGGUGCUGUGCUUGCAUGCCCCAAUGUGCUAUGGGCAGUUACUACCUUCUGCUGUGCUUUGCCACCCACAGUGGUGUGAGGUUGGCAGAGAGGUGAAUGGGUGUGCUGCUGCCUGGGACUGUAGCUCAGGGAACAGGAAUAAUUUUGCUCUGUCUAAGCCUUGCCCAGUGCUGUGAGGCUGCUCAGGAUUUGAUGUUGACUACAGUGUGUGUGUGUUUUGUCUGUGCAUCUAAAUACUGAGUGGCAAAAAAUUGCCACCACAGGAAAUAAGGCCUUAACAUGGUGAAGAGCAGGCUUCCUUCUAUUUCUCAUUAUUCCCCUUGGGAUCCCCAAAGAGCCAUCUUCUGUGUCAUGCCCCAUGCUCAGCAUUCAUCUGUCUGUAAUUCAAAAAUCCUAUGUUUCCAUACCCUGUUAUUAGGCUCUGCAGAAUGAAAUAGUAACUAUUGAAUUCUGUUACAUCUGCUCUCCUACACUCACCAAGGCUUUACCUAUCAGUUUGUUUUCUGCAUCUUUCACUCAGGCUUGGGUUUUCCUUUCCAAAGGAGACUCAAAGUGCUUUUUAAAGACUCAGUGUUGUCAGUGUUGCAGUAGAGCCAAAAGAAGCAGAACUUUACCCCGAGUGAAGGUUACAACUGCCUUGUAGCGCUGUUACUCCAAAACUUGCUGAAAUCAUGAGAUUAUUGAAAACAUAGGAAAUUUGUAAUGCAUUUGGGAACACAGACUUACGCUCCUACCUAGGCAGGAGGGGGUUAGUUUAAGAGAACCUGACUUCACUCGUAAUACAAGUGAAUUCCUCAUAAAGGAAAAAAAGAUCUAUGGAUUGAAUGAAUACAUUUUGUAUGCUGAGGAACAUCUCUCAUACUGUGAUAAUGCUUCCUUGGGAACAGCGCAGCAGGGUUUCUAGCUGUCACUUCCUCUCAGGGCUUUGUCACUCUUUCUGGACAUGAAGGAGUGUGGAUAGUGGCUUGUUGCCCAAGCUGCAUACCUUGGUGUAUGUUUUAUACUGGUGUUUUUGUGACAAAUCAACACUUUAUGGCAAAUAAAAUGUGAUUUUCUGUUUUUAA